Unclassified non-coding RNA from Otolemur garnettii (small-eared galago), 96 nucleotides. It matches the Rfam family "Y RNA". From Rfam's summary of the family: Y RNAs are components of the Ro ribonucleoprotein particle (Ro RNP), in association with Ro60 and La proteins. The Y RNAs and Ro60 and La proteins are well conserved, but the function of the Ro RNP is not known. In humans the RNA component can be one of four small RNAs -- hY1, hY3, hY4 and hY5. NCBI's taxonomy places the organism in Eukaryota, Metazoa, Chordata, Mammalia, Primates, Galagidae. The record is from Ensembl.
UACUGGUUCAAAGGUAUUGAGCUAUCUCCGUUAUUCACAAAUUGAACUUCUUAUUCUUCUCUCUCCCUUCUCAUUAUGGGACUUGACUAGUCUAAA